GCAAGUCGAACGGUAACAGGAAGCAGCUUGCUGCUUCGCUGACGAGUGGCGGACGGGUGAGUAAUGUCUGGGAAGCUGCCUGAUGGAGGGGGAUAACUACUGGAAACGGUAGCUAAUACCGCAUAAUGUCGCAAGACCAAAGAGGGGGACCUUCGGGCCUCUUGCCAUCGGAUGUGCCCAGAUGGGAUUAGCUUGUUGGUGGGGUAACGGCUCACCAAGGCGACGAUCCCUAGCUGGUCUGAGAGGAUGACCAGCCACACUGGAACUGAGACACGGUCCAGACUCCUACGGGAGGCAGCAGUGGGGAAUAUCGCACAAUGGGCGCAAGCCUGAUGCAGCCAUGCCGCGUGUAUGAAGAAGGCCUUCGGGUUGUAAAGUACUUUCAGCGGGGAGGAAGGGAGUAAAGUUAAUACCUUUGCUCAUUGACGUUACCCGCAGAAGAAGCACCGGCUAACUCCGUGCCAGCAGCCGCGGUAAUACGGAGGGUGCAAGCGUUAAUCGGAAUUACUGGGCGUAAAGCGCACGCAGGCGGUUUGUUAAGUCAGAUGUGAAAUCCCCGGGCUCAACCUGGGAACUGCAUCUGAUACUGGCAAGCUUGAGUCUCGUAGAGGGGGGUAGAAUUCCAGGUGUAGCGGUGAAAUGCGUAGAGAUCUGGAGGAAUACCGGUGGCGAAGGCGGCCCCCUGGACGAAGACUGACGCUCAGGUGCGAAAGCGUGGGGAGCAAACAGGAUUAGAUACCCUGGUAGUCCACGCCGUAAACGAUGUCGACUUGGAGGUUGUGCCCUUGAGGCGUGGCUUCCGGAGCUAACGCGUUAAGUCGACCGCCUGGGGAGUACGGCCGCAAGGUUAAAACUCAAAUGAAUUGACGGGGGCCCGCACAAGCGGUGGAGCAUGUGGUUUAAUUCGAUCCAACGCGAAGAACCUUACCUGGUCUUGACAUCCACGGAAGUUUUCAGAGAUGAGAAUGUGCCUUCGGGAACCGUGAGACAGGUGCUGCAUGGCUGUCGUCAGCUCGUGUUGUGAAAUGUUGGGUUAAGUCCCGCAACGAGCGCAACCCUUAUCCUUUGUUGCCAGCGGUCCGGCCGGGAACUCAAAGGAGGCUGCCAGUGAUAAACUGGAGGAAGGUGGGGAUGACGUCAAGUCAUCAUGGCCCUUACGACCAGGGCUACACACGUGCUACAAUGGCGCAUACAAAGAGAAGCGACCUCGCGAGAGCAAGCGGACCUCAUAAAGUGCGUCGUAGUCCGGAUUGGAGUCUGCAACUCGACUCCAUGAAGUCGGAAUCGCUAGUAAUCGUGGAUCAGAAUGCCACGGUGAAUACGUUCCCGGGCCUUGUACACACCGCCCGUCACACCAUGGGAGUGGGUUGCAAAAGAAGUAGGUAGCUUAACCUUCGGGAGGGCGCUUACCACUUUGUGAUUCAUGACUGGGGUGAAGUCGUAACAAGGUAACCGUAGGGGAACCUGCGGUUG
Molecule: ribosomal RNA, 1473 nt
Filed under: metagenome
Description: bacterial SSU rRNA
Rfam family: Bacterial small subunit ribosomal RNA
Source: RNAcentral